Molecule: ribosomal RNA, 494 nt
Filed under: uncultured bacterium
Lineage: Bacteria
Description: partial 16S ribosomal RNA
Rfam family: Bacterial small subunit ribosomal RNA
Source: RNAcentral
GACGAACGCUGGCGGCGUGCUUUAGGCAUGCAAGUCGAACGCGAAAGCCCCUUCGGGGGUGAGUAGAGUGGCGAACGGGUGAGUAACACGUGGGUAACCUGCCCCUCGCAGGGGGAUAACCGGGGGAAACCCCGGCUAAUACCCCGUACGCUUGCUGGGGCGCAUGCUCCGGCAAGGAAAGGUAGCUUCGGCCAUCCGGCGAGGGAGGGGCCCGCGGCCCAUUAGCUAGUUGGUGGGGUAACGGCCCACCAAGGCGACGAUGGGUAGCUGGCCUGAGAGGGUGGUCAGCCACACUGGGACUGAGACACGGCCCAGACUCCUACGGGAGGCAGCAGCCAGGAAUCUUGCGCAAUGGGCGAAAGCCUGACGCAGCAACGCCGCGUGGGCGAUGAAGGCCUUCGGGUCGUAAAGCCCUGUUGUCGGGGACGAAGGGCGAGGGGUUAAUAGCCCCUAGCCUGACGGUACCCGACGAGGAAGCCCCGGCUAACUACGUG